CAAAAGAGCAACCUAAAUUCUGGAAUGCAAAUACUACCGUGCCACCUUAACCAAGACAUAACAAACUUGAAACCAGUCAUGACACCUAUGAUUCAUAGACUUCUUACUUUGGAACAUAUUACAAUAAAGAAUACUAGUCUGCACUCAUUUCUUACCAAAAAAAAUGAAACAUUACAUCCCUACCCCAUCUGGCAGAUUUUCACUUUUUUUCAUUUUACCAUUUUUACUUAAGGAGUGAACAAAACCCA
RNAcentral lists this long non-coding RNA (248 nucleotides) under Mytilus galloprovincialis (Mediterranean mussel). The record is from RNAcentral. Lineage: Eukaryota; Metazoa; Mollusca; Bivalvia; Mytilida; Mytilidae.